CCUAGGGGGGGCAGCAGUGGGGAAUAUUGCGCAAUGGGCGAAAGCCUGACGCCGCGACGCCGCGUGAGGGCUGAAGGUCUUCGGAUCGUAAACCUCUGUCAGCAGGGAAGAACGGUCACUGUGCUAAUCAGCAGUGAAUUGACGGUACCUGCACAGGAAGCACCGGCUAACUCCGUGCCAGCCGCCGCGGUAAUCCGGAGGGUGCGAGCGUUAAUCGGAAGUACUGGGCGUAAAGCGCUCGUAGGCGGUAUGUCAAGUAAAGGGUGAAAUCCCCGCGCUCAACGGGGGAACGGCCUUUGAAACUGGCAAACUGGAGUGUGUGAGAGGAUAGUGGAAUUCCAGGUGUAGGAGUGAAAUCCGUAGAUAUCUGGAGGAACAUCAGUGGCGAAGGCGACUAUCUGGCACAUAACUGACGCUGAGGAGCGAAAGCGUGGGUAGCAAACAGGAUUAGAUACCCGGGGAGUC
Molecule: ribosomal RNA, 465 nt
Filed under: uncultured bacterium
Lineage: Bacteria
Description: partial 16S ribosomal RNA
Rfam family: Bacterial small subunit ribosomal RNA
Source: RNAcentral